CCUACGGGCGGCAGCAGUGGGGAAUAUUGCACAAUGGGGGAAACCCUGAUGCAGCGACGCCGCGUGAGUGAAGAAGUAUUUCGGUAUGUAAAGCCCUUUCAGCAGGGAAGAAAAUGACGGUAUCUGAUUAAGAAGCCCCGGCUAACUCCGUGCCAGCAGCCGCGGUAAUACGUGGGGGGCAAGCGUUAUCCGGAUUUACUGGGUGUAAAGGGAGCGUAGACGGCAGCACAAGUCUGGAGUGAAAUGCCGGAGCUUAACCCCGGAACUGCUUUGGAAACUGUGCAGCUAGAGUGCGGGAGAGGUAAGUGGAAUUCCUGGUGUAGCGGUGAAAUGCGUAGAGAUUAGGAGGAACACCAGUGGCGAAGGCGACUUACUGGACUGUAACUGACGUUGAGGCUCGAAAGCGUGGGGAGCAAACAGGAUUAGAUACCCGGGUAGUC
RNAcentral lists this ribosomal RNA (440 nucleotides) under uncultured bacterium. RNAcentral describes it as "partial 16S ribosomal RNA". It matches the Rfam family "Bacterial small subunit ribosomal RNA", at positions 338 to 795 of the family's 1533-position model. The record is from RNAcentral.